GCCACGGUGGUCUAGCGGUUAGAACACUGGCCUUGUAAUCCUGGGGUCCCGGGUUCGAUUCCCGGCGGUGCCC
This 73-nucleotide transfer RNA is filed under the name Zootermopsis nevadensis. It matches the Rfam family "tRNA". Rfam says of the family: Transfer RNA (tRNA) molecules are approximately 80 nucleotides in length. The record is from Rfam by way of RNAcentral. Lineage: Eukaryota; Metazoa; Arthropoda; Insecta; Blattodea; Termopsidae.